RNAcentral lists this ribosomal RNA (383 nucleotides) under uncultured Bacillota bacterium. Its description in RNAcentral is "SSU rRNA". It matches the Rfam family "Bacterial small subunit ribosomal RNA", at positions 242 to 617 of the family's 1533-position model. The record is from RNAcentral. Lineage: Bacteria; Bacillati; Bacillota.
CAGCUAGUUGGUGAGGUAACGGCUCACCAAGGCCACGAUGCGUAGCCGACCUGAGAGGGUGAUCGGCCACACUGGGACUGAGACACGGCCCAGACUCCUACGGGAGGCAGCAGUAGGGAAUCUUCCGCAAUGGACGAAAGUCUGACGGAGCAACGCCGCGUGAGUGAUGAAGGUUUUCGGAUCGUAAAACUCUGUUGUUAGGGAAGAACAAGUACGAGAGUAACUGCUCGUACCUUGACGGUACCUAACCAGAAAGCCACGGCUAACUACGUGCCAGCAGCCGCGGUAAUACGUACGUGGCAAGCGUUGUCCGGAAUUAUUGGGCGUAAAGCGCGCGCAUGCGGUCCUUUAAGUCUGAUGUGAAAGCCCACCGCUCAACCGUG